AAAAGUGAAAAAACAGAUACCAUUAGACAAUAGCUAACUAGUACUUUCAAGUUCUUCACUUCAUCAUUCAAGUUCUUCACUUCAAAAUUCGAGUUCAAGCACGACAAAUGUUCUUCAACCAUUGGCCUCUCAAAAAAGUUUCCUCUGCCGGUUUCAUCUCUAUAGAUGGGAUUACACCAUGAGAAAAAUCUGCAUUCAUCCCUUUCACAAACAAAGUACAGCAUCCCUUUG
RNAcentral lists this long non-coding RNA (231 nucleotides) under Coffea arabica (coffee). RNAcentral describes it as "long non-coding RNA (CARA_LNC005145)". Lineage: Eukaryota; Viridiplantae; Streptophyta; Magnoliopsida; Gentianales; Rubiaceae. The record is from RNAcentral.